UACGUAGGGCGCAAGCGUUGUCCGGAAUUAUUGGGCGUAAAGAGCUCGUAGGUGGUUUGUUACGUCUGCUGUGAAAACCUAGGGCUUAACCCUGGGCCUGCAGUGGAUACGGGCAGACUAGAGGUAGGUAGGGGAGAAUGGAAUUCCCGGUGUAGCGGUGAAAUGCGCAGAUAUCGGGAGGAACACCGGCGGCGAAGGCGGUUCUCUGGGCCUUACCUGACACUGAGGAGCGAAAGCGUGGGGAGCGAACAGG
RNAcentral lists this ribosomal RNA (253 nucleotides) under uncultured bacterium. Its description in RNAcentral is "partial 16S ribosomal RNA". It matches the Rfam family "Bacterial small subunit ribosomal RNA", at positions 524 to 776 of the family's 1533-position model. The record is from RNAcentral.